RNAcentral lists this ribosomal RNA (504 nucleotides) under uncultured bacterium. RNAcentral describes it as "bacterial SSU rRNA". It matches the Rfam family "Bacterial small subunit ribosomal RNA", at positions 8 to 507 of the family's 1533-position model. The record is from RNAcentral.
AGAGUUUGAUCCUGGCUCAGAUUGAACGCUGGCGGCAUGCCUUACACAUGCAAGUCGAACGGUAACGGGCCUUCGGGUGCCGACGAGUGGCGAACGGGUGAGUAAUGUAUCGGAACGUACCUUUCAGUGGGGGAUAACGUAGCGAAAGUUACGCUAAUACCGCAUAUUCUGUGAGCAGGAAAGCAGGGGAUCGCAAGACCUUGCGCUGAUUGAGCGGCCGAUAUCAGAUUAGCUAGUUGGUGAGGUAAAGGCUCACCAAGGCGACGAUCUGUAGCGGGUCUGAGAGGAUGAUCCGCCACACUGGAACUGAGACACGGUCCAGACUCCUACGGGAGGCAGCAGGUGGGGUAAUUUUGGACAAUGGGGGCAACCCUGAUCCAGCCAUGCCGCGUGAGUGAAGAAGGCCUUCGGGUUGUAAAGCUCUUUCGGCCGGGAAGAAAUCGUAUGGGUUAAUACCCUGUGCGGAUGACGGUACCGGCAUAAGAAGCACCGGCUAACUACGUG